GUGGGGAAUCUUGCGCAAUGCGCGAAAGCGUGACGCAGCAACGCCGCGUGUGGGAAGACGGCCUUCGGGUUGUAAACCACUUUCAGUUGGGACGAAGGUUCUGCCGUUAAUAGCGGUAUGGACUGACGGUACCUUCACAAGAAGCCCCGGCUAACUACGUGCCAGCAGCCGCGGUAAUACGUAGGGGGCAAGCGUUGUCCGGAAUCAUUGGGCGUAAAGCGCGUGUAGGCGGGUCGGUAAGUCUGCUCUGAAAGUCCAAGGCUCAACCUUGGGAUGCGGGUGGAUACUGCCGACCUCGAGUCCGGAAGAGGCGAGUGGAAUUCCUGGUGUAGCGGUGAAAUGCGCAGAUAUCAGGAGGAACACCGAUGGCGAAGGCAGCUCGCUGGGACGUGACUGACGCUGAGACGCGAAAGCGUGGGGAGCAAACAGG
RNAcentral lists this ribosomal RNA (430 nucleotides) under uncultured Conexibacter sp. RNAcentral's name for it is "bacterial SSU rRNA". It matches the Rfam family "Bacterial small subunit ribosomal RNA", at positions 354 to 776 of the family's 1533-position model. The record is from RNAcentral. Lineage: Bacteria; Bacillati; Actinomycetota; Thermoleophilia; Solirubrobacterales; Conexibacteraceae.